GAAUGUGUUGCACAACUGAACAUGAGGCAGCUUCUGUCAAUUGGAAUGGAUGGCCCCAAUGUAAAUUUUAAGCUCUUAGAUCUCCUUCAAAAGGAGCAUGCUGAGCUGCAUGGAGGCACUCAAGUCAUAAUGUUUGGGAGCUGUGGACUUCAUACCCUCCACAAUGCCAUGAAGGCAGGCUUUACAGCCUGGCAACUUGAAAAACUCCUGCGAGCAAUGCAUUUUCUGUUCUACAAUGUCCCUGCCCGGAAAGAGGACUUCACGAACCUCACCAGGUCCUCUUGCUUUCCCCUCUCUUUCUGCGGCCAUAGAUGGGUGGAAAAUGUUUGCAGAGAGAGCAAUCAAGGUUUGGCCCAUGCUUCAAAAGUUUGUGGAUGCUGCAGAAGAUAAGAGGGUCCAAAAAACCAGCACGGCCUCAUAUGAUGCCAUCUUGGCAGCGCGAGGGGAUCCUCUCGUCAUCACAAAGCUGGAAUUCUUCCUUGCAAUUGCAAGAAGUUUUAACCCCUUUUUACAGAGAUACCAAAUAGAUGAGCCAGUGUUGCCUUUUUUGGUAAAAGACCUAACUAAGCUCCUGAUGGUGAUGUCAUCAUUCAGCAAUUCACAUCCUUUCUCUCUGUUGAGGGCAGAGAAGAAGAAUUUGUGUCUUUUCAACCCCUGAGUCAGCGUCUGGAUGUCUUUCUCCACUCCAAACUCUGCACGUCCCACCUUGACCUGCUAAAAUUCUGCCAAAGUGUUCUCCUCCUGUACCAUGGACAAGCCACAGUGGAGAGAGGCUUCUCAGUGAACAAGGAGGUAGAAACGUGCAACCUGCUUGACGAAUCUCUCGAAGCCCUCAGAUUAAUCUGCGAUAAGGUAAUUGGCUGUGGUGGCAUUCUCAAAGUUCCUCUUACCAAGGAGCUCCUGGCCUCUGCUGCUUCAGCGAGGUCACAUUACAGUCUAUACCUGGAAAAUGAAUGAAAAAAGAAGUCGAGUGCCACACAAGAGCAAAAGAGGAAAGCAGCAGAGAAAGAACUGGAGGAUCUCCGGAACCAGCGGCAGGUACUCAAUGUUCACUUGAAGUUGAUGCCGACAAGUUUGCAGAGAUUGCAGAGGGAAAGACAGGAACAAAGAUGGCUGAGCUCAUUACAAAAUCCAACUCUCUUCGAAGAAGAUACAAGGACAAAAAAGCUGAACUGCUCCAAGUGGACAAAAUGAUAGAAGAAAAGGCCACACAGUUGAGGCACUUGUGAUCCUGUUGACUAACUGUAAUUUUACCAAGCAACUUUGACUUUUGUUAGUUCCCUUGGUUGUGUAAGUUGCGUAAGUUAGUUUGAUCGUUAUUUGUCAAUUGUUAGCCUACUGCUGGAAGUACCCUAUCUAGCACAAGGAAUUUAACAUCUCCUAUGUGUAUCUUUGAUAAUUUAAAACAUAUAAUGUUAGAGAUCUAUAUCACCCGUAUCUGGCAUUCAGAGAGCCUGGCUAUAUCCAGCAUUUCAAAGGGGGAUUUAAGUUGUAGCCUAAAGUGGAGGUUGUAUAGGGAAAUGUGUUUGCAGGGAACCUAUUGGUGUAAGGCACAUAGUUAACGAGAUAUUCUGCACUUUAUUAAUAAGGCACUUUAUUCUACUAAGGGCCAAAUGAGUAGACAUGCCAAUGACUGGUCAACAUAGGCCCAAUGUUAC
Molecule: long non-coding RNA, 1658 nt
Organism: Cyprinus carpio (common carp)
Lineage: Eukaryota; Metazoa; Chordata; Actinopteri; Cypriniformes; Cyprinidae
Source: Ensembl